Molecule: microRNA precursor, 85 nt
Organism: Macaca nemestrina (pig-tailed macaque)
Lineage: Eukaryota; Metazoa; Chordata; Mammalia; Primates; Cercopithecidae
Source: Ensembl
UAUUAGGUUGGUGCAAAAGUAAUUGCGGUUUCUGCCAUUAAAGGUAAUGGCAAAAACCGCAAUUACUUUUGCACCAGCCUAAUAU